Molecule: transfer RNA, 57 nt
Filed under: Bos taurus (domestic cattle)
Lineage: Eukaryota; Metazoa; Chordata; Mammalia; Artiodactyla; Bovidae
Also listed under: 3 other names
Rfam family: tRNA
About the family: Transfer RNA (tRNA) molecules are approximately 80 nucleotides in length. Their secondary structure includes four short double-helical elements and three loops (D, anti-codon, and T loops). Further hydrogen bonds mediate the characteristic L-shaped molecular structure. tRNAs have two regions of fundamental functional importance: the anti-codon, which is responsible for specific mRNA codon recognition, and the 3' end, to which the tRNAs corresponding amino acid is attached (by aminoacyl-tRNA synthetases). tRNAs cope with the degeneracy of the genetic code in two manners: having more than one tRNA (with a specific anti-codon) for a particular amino acid; and 'wobble' base-pairing, i.e. permitting non-standard base-pairing at the 3rd anti-codon position.
Source: Rfam by way of RNAcentral
UAGCUCAGACAGUAAAGCGUCUGCCUACAAUGCAGGAGACCCAGGUUCAAUCCCUGG